Molecule: microRNA precursor, 175 nt
Filed under: Manihot esculenta (cassava)
Lineage: Eukaryota; Viridiplantae; Streptophyta; Magnoliopsida; Malpighiales; Euphorbiaceae
Description: miR477c stem-loop (mes-MIR477c)
Gene: mes-MIR477c
Rfam family: MIR473 microRNA precursor family (bases 37-130)
Source: miRBase by way of RNAcentral
GGAAUUCUCGUCAACGACAACAACAAUGGCAUAUCCAUUAUUCACUCUCCCUCAAGGGCUUCUGUUGGUUUUCUGGUCGACCGAAUGACCAAGUACCUACACGGAAGACCUUAGGGAGAGUGGAAAAUACUUGCCAUUUGAUUUCAUGGAAUUAUUGCUCUACUCCGAGAAUUUC